RNAcentral lists this ribosomal RNA (468 nucleotides) under uncultured bacterium. RNAcentral describes it as "partial 16S ribosomal RNA". It matches the Rfam family "Bacterial small subunit ribosomal RNA", at positions 28 to 507 of the family's 1533-position model. The record is from RNAcentral.
GACGAACGCUGGCGGCGUGCUUAACACAUGCAAGUCGAACGGAAAGGCCCUGCUUUUGUGGGGUGCUCGAGUGGCGAACGGGUGAGUAACACGUGAGUAACCUGCCCUUGACUUUGGGAUAACUUCAGGAAACUGGGGCUAAUACCGGAUAGGAUCUCCUGCUGCAUGGUGGGGGUUGGAAAGUUUCGGCGGUUGGGGUUGGACUCGCGGCUUAUCAGCUUGUUGGUGGGGUAGUGGCUUACCAAGGCUUUGACGGGUAGCCGGCCUGAGAGGGUGACCGGCCACAAUGGGACUGAGAUACGGACCAGACUCCUACGGGAGGCAGCAGUGGGGAAUAUUGCACAAUGGGCGGAAGCCUGAUGCAGCAACGCCGCGUGCGGGAUGACGGCCUUCGGGGUGUAAACCGCUUUCGCCUGUGACGAAGCGUGAGUGACGGUAAUGAGUAAAGAAGCACCGGCUAACUACGUG